CAGAGUUUGUUGUUCUUUUCCGCCCGAAUGCUCUCCACGUGUUGAUCAUCGCUUCGGCUUCUCUUUGUCGUUCCCCAUUUUUCCUCAUCCGCACAUUGGAAUGACGUCCAUCCUGUCCACGCGUCGAUCAUCAUCGAAGGGCUUUGCUUCGACUCCUUCUUGACUUUUCCUCUGACUCUCCUUCACUUUGCUGUCUUCUCUCAUCUCUCACUCUUUCUCAUGCUUUCCUUCUCUACUGCAGAAGCCUUCCAUCCAUUCCGAUCUCUCCCACAAACCCUUAUGUUGCCAAAGCUUGCCUUCUCUCGCUUUCUGAUCUCGACUUCUCUCUCUCACUUUCCUGUUGAAAAAAACCAACCCAGUAGAAAUUUCUCCAGUUCUCUCUUCAAAAACUACAAAUCACAACGGCCAAACUCCAAACAAAAAAAAAAAAAAAUCGAAUUCGAAAAGCCAUUUGGUUUUCUUCGAUUCCUACACUGUCCAAACCUUUGCCUUGCGACUUGGAUCGAGCUAGGGUUUUCUUUGAGCCGCGAUCGCACCUUUGUCCUCCGCCGUCUGUCACUAUAUGCGUUGCAUGUGUUACAUGUGUGAAAAUGCCCUGCCUCUUCAAAUCAGUCUACAUCCCUACACUUAUGUCGCUCUCGAACCUCAAUUUCUUUCGCUCUUAAACGCCGCCUUCUCUCCCUCUCCGACCUUGCGAUAUUUGUCUCACAAAUUACCAACCGCACUUUCUGGCUGAAAAACCACCCAACCUGUAGUAGUUUCUUGGGUUCUUCAGUUGGAUGUGGAGAAAUUUUGUACCCAGGCGUUUCCUGGUGAGUUUUACGUCUUUCUCAAUGUAAGUGUUUUAAUUUCUUUUCUGUGAUUUUGGAUUUGUAGAUGGGUUUUCCGUUCAAAUUUCUUUUUUGUGAUUUUGGGGGUUUUGUUUGUACCCUCGGAUCCUGCUUGUGGGUGUUUAAUUUGGCUGCAUAUGGUUGUUUAAUUCAGUUUUGUUUUCAGUUUUUCAUUUUUUUUGGGGCUUUUGUAACUCAAGGUGAGCAAUUUUAGCUUCUCUCUUUGGGGCUAUUGUGGAACCAAAUUUUAAAUUUUUAUGAUUAUGAAAGUUGAAAACGACACUUUGUUUAGUUUCCAUUUAGUACAUUAAUGCAUAACUCUGUUUUUCUCUCCUCCUUAAAUUCAUAUAUGGAAAUAGGAAGUUUAAGGAUCUUUGUUCUUGCUAAUAGGUUUAAUAAUAAUGACGUUUGAAUGAUCUUUGUUUCCAGGAAACUGAUUUUAAAGAAUGGUAGCUGGUGAUUCAGGAAGCAUGGUAGAAAUAUAGGUUUCAACGACUCAACUCCCGAAAGUUGAGCUUCCAAUCCAAGCUCUAUAACACUUAAGAAGAGGUUAUGAUCCGCAUUAUCUAAAAUUAUGACUAUACUGGAAGAGAUAGUGUAAUGCUCUUAAAGAGGCAAUGGAUAUCCAAAAGAAAUGAAAAUGUUUUAUGCA
Long non-coding RNA from Pyrus x bretschneideri (Chinese white pear), 1482 nucleotides. RefSeq lists it as uncharacterized. Lineage: Eukaryota; Viridiplantae; Streptophyta; Magnoliopsida; Rosales; Rosaceae. The record is from RefSeq and is a predicted model, not a curated record. The transcript has 2 exons.